CCUACGUGUGGCAGCAGUGGGGAAUAUUGCACAAUGGGGGAAACCCUGAUGCAGCGACGCCGCGUGAGUGAAGAAGUAUUUCGUUAUGUAAAGCUCUAUCAGCAGGGAAGAAAAUGACGGUACCUGAGUAAGAUGCCCCGGCUAACUACGGCCCAGCAGCCGCGGUAAUACGUAGGGGGCAAGCGUUAUCCGGAUUUACUGGGUGUAAAGGGGGCGUAGCCGGGAGUGGAAGUCUGGAGUGAAAGGCGGGGGCUCAACCCCCGGACUGCACUGGAAACUGUACGUCUGGAGUGCAGGAGAGGUAAGUGGAAUUCCUAGUGUAGCGGUGAAAUGCGUAGAUAUUAGGAGGAACACCAGUGGCGAAGGCGGCUUACUGGACUGUAACGGACGGUGAGGCGCGAAAGCGUGGGGAGCAAACAGGAUUAGAUACCCCAGUAGUC
This 440-nucleotide ribosomal RNA is filed under the name uncultured bacterium. Its description in RNAcentral is "partial 16S ribosomal RNA". It matches the Rfam family "Bacterial small subunit ribosomal RNA", at positions 338 to 795 of the family's 1533-position model. The record is from RNAcentral.